AGCCACAGCCAUAUCACCCCGCAUCCCAAGACCAGUUACUGACUGAAGAUAAGCAGGGCUGAGCCUGCUCAGUACCUGGAUGGGAGACCACAUGGGGACACUAGGUUGUGGUGAUUC
Molecule: ribosomal RNA, 117 nt
Organism: Danio rerio (zebrafish)
Lineage: Eukaryota; Metazoa; Chordata; Actinopteri; Cypriniformes; Danionidae
Source: Ensembl